Molecule: ribosomal RNA, 477 nt
Filed under: uncultured bacterium
Lineage: Bacteria
Description: partial 16S ribosomal RNA
Rfam family: Bacterial small subunit ribosomal RNA
Source: RNAcentral
AACGAACGUUGGCGGCGUGGAUUAGGCAUGCAAGUCGAGCGAAUCCCCGCAAGGGGGGAAGCGGCGAAAGGGGCAGUAAGGCAUGGGUAACCUACCCUGGGGACUGGGAUAGCCAUUCGAGAGAAGGGGUAAUACCGGGCGAUGUGCCGGGCCGGCAUCGGUCAGUCACCAAAUGAGUUUCGCCCUGGGAGGGGCCCAGGUGAUAUUAGCUAGUUGGUGAGGUAACGGCUCACCAAGGCGAAGAUGUCUAGCGGGUGUGAGCGCACGACCCGCGCCACUGGCACUGAGACACUGGCCAGACACCUACGGGUGGCUGCAGUCGAGGAUCUUCGGCAAUGGGCGCAAGCCUGACCGAGCGGCGCCGCGUGUGCGAUGAAGGCCUUCGGGUUGUAAAGCACUGUCGAGAGGGAGAAAAGCGAAAGCUUGAUCUAUCUCUGGAGGAAGCACGGGCUAAGUUCGUGCCAGCAGCCGCCGUAA